Molecule: ribosomal RNA, 429 nt
Filed under: Pseudomonadota bacterium
Lineage: Bacteria; Pseudomonadati; Pseudomonadota
Description: Proteobacteria bacterium partial 16S ribosomal RNA
Rfam family: Bacterial small subunit ribosomal RNA
Source: RNAcentral
UGGGGAAUAUUGGACAAUGGGCGAAAGCCUGAUCCAGCCAUGCCGCGUGUGUGAAGAAGGUCUUCGGAUUGUAAAGCACUUUAAGUUGGGAGGAAGGGCAGUAAGCGAAUACCUUGCUGUUUUGACGUUACCGACAGAAUAAGCACCGGCUAACUCUGUGCCAGCAGCCGCGGUAAUACAGAGGGUGCAAGCGUUAAUCGGAAUUACUGGGCGUAAAGCGCGGGUAGGUGGUUCGUUAAGUUGAAUGUGAAAGCCCCGGGCUCAACCUGGGAACUGCAUCCAAAACUGGCGAGCUAGAGUAGGGCAGAGGGUGGUGGAAUUUCCUGUGUAGCGGUGAAAUGCGUAGAUAUAGGAAGGAACACCAGUGGCGAAGGCGACCACCUGGGCUCAUACUGACACUGAGGUGCGAAAGCGUGGGGAGCAAACAGG